RNAcentral lists this transfer-messenger RNA (193 nucleotides) under Paracoccaceae bacterium. Its description in RNAcentral is "Rhodobacteraceae bacterium (freshwater metagenome) partial transfer-messenger RNA". It matches the Rfam family "Alphaproteobacteria transfer-messenger RNA", at positions 1 to 215 of the family's 355-position model. From Rfam's summary of the family: Bacterial tmRNA, also known as 10Sa RNA or SsrA, is named for its dual tRNA and mRNA-like properties. Its role is to liberate the mRNA from a stalled ribosome. Lineage: Bacteria; Pseudomonadati; Pseudomonadota; Alphaproteobacteria; Rhodobacterales; Paracoccaceae. The record is from RNAcentral.
GCCCUUCACAUCCCCAUGGAUCAGACUUAUGUUCAAAGUGUCCUUCGGGACUAUGGACAUAAACGCGCGCGUAAUAAGCGGAUCGGACCCGGGGGCGGUACCCGGCAGCUCCACCAAACAAUAGGGGGCUGAAAUAGGAUCGACGAACGUCUAAAGGUGUUAGCUUUGUCUCGGCUGUCUGCCACCGUUAUCG